This 406-nucleotide ribosomal RNA is filed under the name uncultured bacterium. Its description in RNAcentral is "partial 16S ribosomal RNA". It matches the Rfam family "Bacterial small subunit ribosomal RNA", at positions 30 to 526 of the family's 1533-position model. The record is from RNAcentral.
AUUGAACGCUGGCGGCAGGCCUAACACAUGCAAGUCGAACGAGCGGCGGACGGGUGAGUAAUGUCUGGGAAACUGCCUGAUGGAGGGGGAUAACUACUGGAAACGGUAGCUAAUACCGCAUACUAUCGGAUGUGCCCAUAUGGGAUUAGCUAGUAGGUGGGGUAAAGGCUCACCAAGGCGACGAUCCCUAGCUGGUCUGAGAGGAUGACCAGCCACACUGGGACUGAGACACGGUCCAGACUCCUACGGGAGGCAGCAGUGGGGAAUAUUGCACAAUGGGCGCAAGCCUGAUGCAGCCAUGCCGCGUGUAUGAAGAAGGCCUUAGGGUUGUAAAGUACUUUCAGCGGGGAGGCGUUACCCGCAGAAGAAGCACCGGCUAACUCCGUGCCAGCAGCCGCGGUAAUAC